Molecule: unclassified non-coding RNA, 673 nt
Filed under: Hevea brasiliensis (rubber tree)
Lineage: Eukaryota; Viridiplantae; Streptophyta; Magnoliopsida; Malpighiales; Euphorbiaceae
Source: RNAcentral
GCUUGGUCUGCUAGCUGGUUGUCCUUAGCAGCAACUGCUGGUACAUCUUUAGAAGCUUCUAAUGCAGUUUCUAAGUUGUCAAAGAGUUGCUUUAGCUCUCCAAACUGAUGUAACAAUGUUGUUAUAAACUUUUCCAGCCUUUCCAUUUGAACUGCAAGCAAUUUCAUCUCUAAUUUCUGCUUCUCUUUUAAUUCCUUCAAUUUCUUCUUCAUUUUUCUUUCAUACUUCUUCUGCCUUGUAUCAAAAUUGUCCAACUUUGCUUCCAUAAAUUUCAAAAUUGUCAAUAACUCAUCAAAAUUCUAUUGUGAAACUGCAAGUUUAGUUGGCUAUAAUUUCUCAUCUAGCUUUGCAAUUUCGGCUUCAAUGGACUUAAAAGCAAACAAGAGUGUAGCGAUAGAAGUGGGCUGCUGAGAUGGACUAGCAGAUUGAGGUUCAGUUUGUGUGUCAAAAGGCUGAAAAGGAUCAUCCUCUGGCCUAGGGUCGCUGGUUUGGUCCAUUAGCACAAAAAUAGACCAUUUCUUCUUUAUAAUACUCAUGCUAAAUAGAAUAGCCCUGUCUAGGUAAGCUUUUCCUAAAAUAGGCUUCAAUUUAUGCUCUGCUAGUGAAAAAUCAAAAGCCUUAGCUAUCGCAGUGAUCAAACCCCCAAAGACUAUACUACCAAUCCUCAUUUUAG